GGGGCUGGGGCUCAGUGGUAGAGCACUUGCCUAGCAUGUGUGAGGCAUUUGGUUCAAUUCUCAGCACCA
RNAcentral lists this transfer RNA (69 nucleotides) under Marmota monax (woodchuck). Its description in RNAcentral is "tRNA.Ala". The record is from RNAcentral. Lineage: Eukaryota; Metazoa; Chordata; Mammalia; Rodentia; Sciuridae.